This 1257-nucleotide long non-coding RNA is filed under the name Oryctolagus cuniculus (rabbit). RNAcentral's name for it is "lncRNA (ENSOCUG00000037432.1)". The record is from RNAcentral. Lineage: Eukaryota; Metazoa; Chordata; Mammalia; Lagomorpha; Leporidae.
UCAUUCUUUUUUGUUGCUGUUGUUUCAGAUGUUGCCUUUUGUUUUCCUGGUGACUUUUCUGGAUUAAUGUUGCAAAAUUUAUGUUCCUUGUUGCAGGUGACCAGCGAAUGUCCUGCUUGGUUCCUUUGGUGUUCAACUAGUGCUGGACAGAGUUGUCCCUGAAUGCUCUGAGCCAGCGUGGCUUCCAAGGCGGCGCGGAGGGGAUCUAACCACACUGAGGCACUUACAUUUCCAGCUGUGAUUGAGCCUUCACUUCCUGCUUGGGCGGAGGUUCAAGGUCAACCUAGGGGUCAAGGUGCAGUGCCUUCUACCUUUUCUGAACCAGCACACAGGAACAUAUACGAUUCUUCAAAACUCACCACGGACCUCCCAUUUCUGAAGUUUUAUUUAUUUAUUUUUUAAGCUUUUGUCAGCAUCUGGUUAGUUCCCACUUGUUAACACUGCCGCAGGAAGCUGCAAGAUUAAACAGCUGCUGCUGACUGUUUUUAGCAACUUACCCAGAGUCAGGGUCAUUCACCUAGAUGGAGGUCUGGGCUGGGUGAAAUAAAGGGAGUUUUUCAGUGAACCGGCACACAGGUCAAAUAGUGACAGGCCUCCAGGGGUAAGGCUGUAUGGGCAUCCCACUGUGUUCUGCCUCCUGCAAGGCUGCUGGUUUUCAAGGAAUGGGUGGCAUUAGGACAAGGAAAGAUGCUACAAACCUCAACUGCUUUUGCUGCAAUCCUACUGUGUUCUUGAACGAAUCCUCUUUGGACUACUGAAAGUCCAUAGUUAAUAUGUAAAACUCUGAUAAAGUUGAUUUUGACAUUUCCAGCCCAGGGUUCUCAUUACGUUUAUGGAGAAAGUGGAUUUAUAGAAUUCCUCACUCUGCUGUUCUGGAAAAUUGAAUCUUGCGAUGCAAGGAAAAGGAAAAUGACACCGCCCUGGAACACUGCGGCGAAUGAAAGGAACAGAGGCUCAUGGGGAGCAGUGCGUGGGGACGGAUGUGGAAAGAAGUCGCUGGCAGGUGUAGGAUCUCAGAUGACUCCAAGGGGCAGAUAAGCUGGGUCCUGGAUGACCAGCGAAUGCAACAUGGGAGUUCUGGUGCUAAAGCUUGCUCUGUGAUUUGACAGCGACUUAUGAAGAAGCAACAGUUCCUAGAGGCAUGUAGACUGCACAUGUGGGUGGGACCUUGGGUUUUAUCGGCCAUCCACAUGGAUGAGGUGAAUGGCCUCACCUGUAACUCUGCCUUUCAAAAAAAUAAAUAAAUUAAAAAAAACA